CUCUGUUCUGAUGAAGAAAGGACAUUGUACUGGCCUUCACUUAGGUGGCGCCUUCCCAAGGACUACCAGACCCGUCCGAUGCCUUUUUUACAGAGGUGGGG
Molecule: long non-coding RNA, 101 nt
Organism: Perognathus longimembris pacificus (Pacific pocket mouse)
Lineage: Eukaryota; Metazoa; Chordata; Mammalia; Rodentia; Heteromyidae
Exons: 4
Source: RefSeq, a predicted model, not a curated record